RNAcentral lists this long non-coding RNA (749 nucleotides) under Astyanax mexicanus (Mexican tetra). RNAcentral's name for it is "lncRNA (ENSAMXG00005020726.1)". The record is from RNAcentral. Lineage: Eukaryota; Metazoa; Chordata; Actinopteri; Characiformes; Acestrorhamphidae.
AUGUGUCCUUUUGGGCAUCUCCAAAUGUUCUUUUGGGAAUCUCCAAGUGUGAUUUUGGAGAGCCCAAAGUGGCAUUUUGGGUAUCUACAGGGUCCUUUUGGGCAUAUCCACGUAUCAUUUUGGGCAUCUCCAAGUGUCCUUUUGGGCAUCUCCAGGAUCCUUUCAGAGAUCUCCAAGUGUCCUUUUGGGCAUCGCCAAGUGUCCUUUUGGGCAUCGCCAAGUGUCCUAUUGGGCAUCUCCAGGGUCCUUUUGGAGAUCUCCAGGUGUCAUUUUUGGAAUCUCCAAGUGUCACAUUUUUGGCAUCUCCAGGGUCCUUGUGGGCAUCUCCAAGUGUCUUUUUUGGCAUCUCCAAGUGUCUGUUUAGGCAUGUUCCAGUGUCCUUUUGGGCAUCUACGGGGUCUUUUGGGAGAUCUCCAAGUGUCAUUUUUGGCAUCUCCAAGUGUUUUUUUGGGCAUCUCCAAGCGUCCUUUUGGGCAUCUCCACGGUCAUUUUUGAGAUCACUAAGUGUCCUUUUGGGCAUUUCAAAAUGUCUUUUUGGGCAUCUACAGGGCCUUUUGGGCAUCUCCAAGUGUACCUUUGGGCAUCUCCAUGGUCUUUUUGGAGAUCACCAAGUGUCUUUUUGGGCAUCUUCAGGUGUUCUUUUGGCAUCUGCAAGUGUCCUUUUGGGCAGCCAGUGUAAACGACCCCAAAAGCUCAACAGAGACUUACCAACGAGGUAAAGAAACAAUCCUGAGUGACAGACAGAAACA